Molecule: ribosomal RNA, 253 nt
Filed under: uncultured bacterium
Lineage: Bacteria
Description: partial 16S ribosomal RNA
Rfam family: Bacterial small subunit ribosomal RNA
Source: RNAcentral
AACGUAGGAGGCGAGCGUUAUCCGGAUUUACUGGGCGUAAAGCGCGUGCAGGCGGCAUGGAAAGUUGGAUGUAAAAGCUCCCGGCUCAACUGGGAGAGGUCGUUCAAAACUACCAAGCUAGAGUACAGUAGAGGGAAGUGGAAUUCCGGGUGUAGUGGUGAAAUGCGUAGAUAUCCGGAGGAACACCAGUGGCGAAAGCGGCUUUCUAGACUGUAACUGACGCUCAGACGCGAAAGCUAGGGUAGCAAACGGG